This 207-nucleotide ribosomal RNA is filed under the name uncultured bacterium. RNAcentral describes it as "partial 16S ribosomal RNA". It matches the Rfam family "Bacterial small subunit ribosomal RNA", at positions 568 to 774 of the family's 1533-position model. The record is from RNAcentral.
CACGUAGGCGGCUCGGCAAAUCGGUCGUGGAAUCCCGACGCUUACCGUCGGAACGGCGGCCGAAAAUACCGGGCUCGAGGGCGUGAGGGGUCACUGGAACUCCUGGUGAAGCGGUGAAAUGCGUAGAUAUCAGGAGGAACGCCGGAGGCGAAAGCGAGUGACUGGCGCGUUCCUGACGCUGAGGUGCGAAAGCUAGGGGAGCAAACA